AGAUGUGAGGACAAUCUGGCUGUGGUAUCUGUCACCCCACUGAUCACCAGGGCUGAUUUAGCUGGCUAGGCAGGUAUUGCCUUCUCCCCUUACUGCUCCAGGGUGUCCCUCCCAAAGCUAUAGGUGGGUUGAAGAGAACGGCCUUCCCCAUAGAGGAGGACUGUUCUUCAGUGAAGAGUACGUGAGCAGUCACUCUUCCCUGCUAGAACCUCCAACAAGCUCCCAAGAGCAUUGAAGGCUAGUGAUCAGCGAAGAGCAUCCCACUCUCAGCCUCAUACUUGCACCCAGACCCUGUCUGUGUCAAUGCCAA
RNAcentral lists this small nuclear RNA (310 nucleotides) under Jaculus jaculus (lesser Egyptian jerboa). Its description in RNAcentral is "7SK RNA (ENSJJAG00000004406.1)". It matches the Rfam family "7SK RNA". From Rfam's summary of the family: 7SK was discovered as an abundant small nuclear RNA in the mid-70s but a possible function has only recently been suggested. Two independent studies have found that 7SK RNA binds the CDK9/cyclin T complex (known as elongation factor P-TEFb). The record is from RNAcentral. Lineage: Eukaryota; Metazoa; Chordata; Mammalia; Rodentia; Dipodidae.